This is a non-coding RNA of Theobroma cacao (cacao), 1750 nucleotides long. NCBI's taxonomy places the organism in Eukaryota, Viridiplantae, Streptophyta, Magnoliopsida, Malvales, Malvaceae. The record is from RefSeq and is a predicted model, not a curated record.
UUUUAGUAUUCUCAAGUAUAUUCCUUUGGACCAAGUGGAAGAUCCACAACCACAAGCAAUGGCGGUGACAGGUGACCCACAAAUUUCAUCAGUUUUUGUUUUGAUUCUUAUGGUGAAUUGCUGCUAAAACGUCUGCUGGACGUGGCAUUCUUUCGCAAAUUUCAAGCAAUUUUGAAGGAAUUGGAUACAACGUUGGUUCUUUUUGCAUGGAGCUGACUGCAAAGACCCAUUACCCUGCAAAAGGUUAAUUGGACUUUUUUUCCUCAUGAAAUUUUGAAGUGUAACAUCUGGAUUAUGUUCCUUUCGUUUUGCAGAUAUUCUUUGCAAUAUGUAGCUGAUUAUUCCAUUGUUUUUAUACAAAAAUUUGCUUGCCAAUUUUUAUGUUUAUAUUCCGUUCUUGCUUAAUUUACACAUAUAGAAAAACUUAAAACUAUUCUGAAUGCUUGUUGGUCCUUCUUUAAGGUGUUUGAUAUAUUUGAGGACUUGAGAUCUAAGAGCUAUUUCCCACAGUGCUAUUAAAACAAAGGCUUGUGCUUUUAUAUCAUAUGUGGAUGAACUUCUAAAAGCUUAGAAUUUGGGAAUUCUGUAUACUUUAUUAAUUACAGAAGAUGGGCAUUCAACGAGAAAGUCUAAAUUGAAUCCUCCUUACAUGUUUACUGAUUGCAGAGAAAAAGUCAUUGAGUUAUUUGUAUCAGGAUGUGAGAGAGUGACCGUAGAGCAGCAUGUUCUCUGUUACAACUACUGGGCUAAUACACUUGCUGCCCCUAUUUGAGGUUGAAGGAUUCGGUAUUGAUUUUGCCUUCUCUCGUGAAAAUGAACAAAUUGGUAGAGAUUGGAACUAUGGCAUAUGUCUCAAAAUGGGACAUUUGAUCACUUCUGAGUCGCUUUCUUGUUUUGUUGAUCUUGCAAUUGGAAUGCAUUCCUAUCCACUCCUUGAAAAGAGCCAACAGGUUCUGCCAUUUGGAAACCAUAUUGCUUCAUAAUCCAUAAAUUAACUGGAAAUAGAACUCAAACAUGCAUUCAUGGAUAGUCUAUUUGUGGAAGAUGACUACCUUCUUGCAACAUGAUUGAGCUUGAUUCUCUACAAUGCAAUGAUGUUUUAGAUGUACUUUCUGAAUAUCAGUGAAGUACAAUACGAAGAUUCUUCAAAUUGGUUAGUACCUUAUCAUUUAUUCCCACUAUUUUCUACUUUUUCUGCUAUCAUUAGUCCGAAAACUGUGUCUUAAAGGCAUAAAAACUUUUAAGAUCUGCAUGUUUAUCUUCCUAUUGAUUAAGUUGUCAUCCUUGCGUUAUAGUUUCUCAAGCUUUAAAAGGCUUGACAGAUUAUUUUUGAAGAUGAAUAUUGCCACUUUAUCAACCGAACUGAACGUUUAUAAAAGACAGCCAGUGUGUUGAUAGGAAUUUGAUUUGUGUGCCCAAAUGGUUUUAGAUUAAAGGAUUCAGUAAUCUCCUCCUUAGCAAAGGCAUCUCUGGAAAUACAGCAUCUGCAGAGUUUGUAGCACUGAAUCUUUACUUUUGAGGCAGUGUACGCUGAAAUUGCUAGGAUCUCAUCUGAAAAGCAUGUCCCAGGACCCAUUUUGCUGCAGGAACUGAUACAAAUUCAACCGUGUCAGAAGUCAUGAGCCAACUUAGCAUGGGUUAUGAUAUUCGAUAUGUCUCGUGAUUUUGAUUUGCGUUAUUUUAAUUUAAUUUGUGACUAUUGUUAAUGUUUAUUUAGAUAUUAAUGAGUUAUUGGUUGGUUUGCGUGAAA